This 639-nucleotide ribosomal RNA is filed under the name uncultured bacterium. RNAcentral describes it as "bacterial SSU rRNA". It matches the Rfam family "Bacterial small subunit ribosomal RNA", at positions 232 to 885 of the family's 1533-position model. The record is from RNAcentral.
CGCGGCCUAUCAGCUUGUUGGUGGGGUAACGGCCCACCAAGGCAUCGACGGGUAGCUGGUCUGAGAGGACGAUCAGCCACACUGGGACUGAGACACGGCCCAGACUCCUACGGGAGGCAGCAGUGGGGAAUAUUGCGCAAUGGGCGAAAGCCUGACGCAGCAACGCCGCGUGGGGGAUGACGGCCUUCGGGUUGUAAACCCCUUUCAGCAGGGACGAAAAUGACGGUACCUGCAGAAGAAGCCCCGGCCAACUACGUGCCAGCAGCCGCGGUAACACGUAGGGGGCAAGCGUUGUCCGGAUUUAUUGGGCGUAAAGAGCUCGUAGGCAGUUGCGUAAGUCGGAUGUGAAAACUCAGGGCUCAACCCGGAGACUGCAUUCGAUACUGCGCUGACUAGAGUCCGGUAGGGGAGCAUGGAAUUCCUGGUGUAGCGGUGAAAUGCGCAGAUAUCAGGAGGAACACCAGUGGCGAAGGCAGUGCUCUGGGCCGGUACUGACGCUGAGGAGCGAAAGCGUGGGUAGCGAACAGGAUUAGAUACCCUGGUAGUCCACGCCGUAAACGUUGGGCACUAGGUGUGGGGCCUACUUAACGGGUUCCGUGCCGUAGCUAACGCAUUAAGUGCCCCGCCUGGGGAGUACGG